UACAUACUCCUGCCAUCCGGAAAUAUUUGUCAUAGAAAUGGAUGUAUCUAGAUGUAUUUCAAUUCUAGAUACAUCCAUUUUUAUUCAUUUGUGUGACAAAUAACUACAGACGGAGGGAGUAUCAU
Hordeum vulgare subsp. vulgare (domesticated barley) is the source of this 125-nucleotide non-coding RNA. The record is from Rfam. Lineage: Eukaryota; Viridiplantae; Streptophyta; Magnoliopsida; Poales; Poaceae.